GAUGAAGAACGUAGCGAAAUGCGAUAAGUAAUGUGAAUUGCAGAAUUCAGUGAAUCAUCGAAUCUUUGAACGCAUCUUGCGCUCCUUGGUAUUCCUUGGAGCAUGCCUGUUUGAGUAUCAUGAGCAAAUCUCAAAGUCAAUUCCUUUUGUUAAUUCAAUUGGUUUUGCUUUGGACUUGGAGGUCUUGCAGAUUUUCACAGUCUGCUCCUCUUAAAUGCAUUAGCUGGAUCUUAGUAAUUAUGCUUGGUUCCACUCGGCGUGAUAAGUAUCACUCGCUGAGGACACUGUUAAAAAGGUGGCCAGGAAAAUACUGAUUGAACCGCUUCUAACGGUCUAUUAAGUUAGACAAUUACCCUUAAGUUUGAUCUCAAAUCAGGUAGGACUACCCGCUGAACUUAAGCAUAUCAAUAAGCGGAGGA
This 419-nucleotide unclassified non-coding RNA is filed under the name soil metagenome. RNAcentral's name for it is "partial contains 5.8S ribosomal RNA, internal transcribed spacer 2, and large subunit ribosomal RNA". The stretch from base 1 to 120 matches the Rfam family "5.8S ribosomal RNA", at positions 35 to 154 of the family's 154-position model. The record is from RNAcentral.